UCCUCUCCCCUAGUGGAAAGAGGAGCAUUGAGCUCAUCAAGGACUUGUCAAUGCUUAUAAAUUGCAAGAGUUUCUUUAACGUUUCUCUGGUCUAGGACCCUGCGACAAUGUUUAUAGGUAAUGCCCGUAUAUUUUAGUUGUUCAUAAAAUUAAUAUUUUAUUUAAAUCUAAUGGAUUUUCUAUUUUUUUUAUAAAAGUCAUGGUCAAGGGGUUUUGAUUUGAAGAAGUGAUGACCAUGCCUAAGGCCUCUAAAGAUGUGAGGGAGGUCAACCUUGCUAAGGUAGUCCUCAAAACCCUAACAAGCAUCAAUGGGUAGAAACGAGAUAGGCUGACCCUUCCCUGACAAAGAAAAUAACAGAAACUACUAGAGACAUGUUGACCCAAAUAGCUUCUCUAAACACCUCGACCCCAUCAAUGAAUCCCAUUGUGGGACUGAGUCAAGCUCAAGAAUCUUUGUAGUCGAUUAAUGUGGUGGUGAGCAUCCCUUCUCCGAUGGUUUACGCGGGCCCCCUAGGUAAUCUAUCAUGGCAAGAGCAACUUCUCGACUAUUUUAGUGGUCCACGACAGCGCGUGAGUCUCGGCAACGGAAGGCAAGUCUUGUGGGGUUUGAUUGGAGUGCCUCAGCGGUGGUGGUCAUCGGAGAAGGCACAGUCAUCAUUGAAGAAGAAAGGUGAGCUUCCUUUUUGUGAAUAAUGUUGGCUUCUGGAUAACGUUGUCUAGUUUGUAAGUUAGUAGGUGUAAGUUCGGAAGUGUUUUGUAUAUGUAAAUCCAGAAUUUUGUUUGUCUUAUUUCCUUGAAACUUGCUUUCAUUCAUAUCUGAGGCCAUAUUUGAAAUGCAUAGGAACAUGGUGAGAAGUAGAAGAGGAGAGAUCUUCUAAGGUGGACCGCGUGCGACCAACUGCAUCUCUGUGAGAAGAAAGUGUGGGCAUCCUAGUAAUUCACUUGGAAAUGAGGAUGCUAAAGCUACUGUUGAAUAUAAGAAGUGGAAAUUAAGGAUGAAGGCUAUUAAGGAGAGUAGUCAUUGCUGGUUAAUUAUGAAGAGUAUGUGACAAGACAAUUAUCGGAUGGUUUGGUAAGUAAUGAAGAUUUUAUAUGACUGGUUGAUUAAGUGUGUUAUGUAUGUAUUAUAGUAAAAUUUUGAAAUGGUAUUUGUUGAUUAUUGUACGAUCGGG
RNAcentral lists this long non-coding RNA (1172 nucleotides) under Phaseolus vulgaris (common bean). RNAcentral describes it as "long non-coding RNA (PVUL_LNC003374)". Lineage: Eukaryota; Viridiplantae; Streptophyta; Magnoliopsida; Fabales; Fabaceae. The record is from RNAcentral.